GGCUCCGUGGCGGGUGGUCCGCGUCUGCAGUUCUUAAAUGAUAAGGAGGAGUUUACAGAAUUUGUCUGUUCGAAUCAGGUCGGAGCCG
Molecule: non-coding RNA, 88 nt
Organism: Mycena epipterygia
Lineage: Eukaryota; Fungi; Basidiomycota; Agaricomycetes; Agaricales; Mycenaceae
Source: the annotation of a GenBank genome assembly